Long non-coding RNA from Sander lucioperca (pikeperch), 68 nucleotides. RefSeq lists it as uncharacterized. The transcript is spliced from 3 exons. The record is from RefSeq and is a predicted model, not a curated record. Lineage: Eukaryota; Metazoa; Chordata; Actinopteri; Perciformes; Percidae.
CUACUCUCAUGUAAAAUUAACCACUCUGGCCCAGCCCACAAAUACACUCCUUCCAAAACAGCCUUACA